Molecule: long non-coding RNA, 887 nt
Filed under: Androctonus crassicauda
Lineage: Eukaryota; Metazoa; Arthropoda; Arachnida; Scorpiones; Buthidae
Source: RNAcentral
UGAGCGGGUAAUUUCUAGUAUUAGUAAUAAGAGAAAUUAUAAAUUACGUUUAUGAUAAGAUAUAAAGCGAUAGAGAGCGUAUUCAAUGGUUUUACUCUUGAAAAAGAAGAAUGAAGUAGAAGAAGAAAGGAAAGAACAAGAAAUAGAAGAAAGUUUCCUACCAAGAGGAGUGUGGUAGACCAGUAGAUGGAAAAGAGAGAGGCCCAAGGCUGUCAGGCAGUCCACAAUGAAACUCGAAAGGCAAAAGGCUACAUUAAAGAAAUUGGCGCGCAGGCUAAAAUAAAAUUGGUGCCCAGAUCAGAAACACAACAAACAGACUCGGAGAACUUGUCCGGAACAGCAGAAUUCACAGGAACACGGUACACACAAGGAGUCCCAAAAGAAAUUCAGCAGGGACAGGACACAACAGGCAGAAGAUGAAGAACACAGGGUGAACUUGUCCCUCGAAGAACGAUGAGCAGUCACAAGCACAGAAGGCGGUAACCACUAAACACAACAGCAGAGACACCACAGAAAGGAAGAAGUCUUCACCGAGAAGAAAACGGAGAACUUCCAAGAACGGUCCCCUACACACACAGAAGUCCGCCGAAGAACGGGAACAGUCGACGCAGGAACAGAAUACCACGGGCAGAAGAAGCAAUUACCAGAGAGAAAAGUCCCGACGUCGAAGCACCACAGAAGAAGCACCGCUUAGUGUCAGAGAGACUGUUUGACGUUAAAUAAAUUUUAAUUUGUAUAGACUACAGUCGUACCACGAAUUAUGGCUCCUUGACUUAUGACGCUUCGGACUUACGUACAGUUUGAAUUGCUAACAUUUCCCAAAGUUCAGUGUUUUUUUUUUUUUUGGUAAAAAAACAGUGUGGUUACUUUUUUAAAAUAAAGCCUAU